RNAcentral lists this ribosomal RNA (253 nucleotides) under uncultured bacterium. RNAcentral describes it as "partial 16S ribosomal RNA". It matches the Rfam family "Bacterial small subunit ribosomal RNA", at positions 524 to 776 of the family's 1533-position model. The record is from RNAcentral.
UACGUAGGGGGCUAGCGUUGUCCGGAUUUAUUGGGCGUAAAGAGCGUGUAGGCGGCCAGGUAGGUCUGGUGUGAAAACUCGAGGCUUAACCUCGAGAUGUCAUCGGAAACCAUCUGGCUAGAGUCCGGAAGAGGAGGGUGGAAUUCCUGGUGUAGCGGUGAAAUGCGCAGAUAUCAGGAAGAACACCAAUGGCGAAAGCAGCUCUCUGGGACGGUACUGACGCUGAGACGCGAAAGCGUGGGGAGCGAACAGG